Marmota monax (woodchuck) is the source of this 1237-nucleotide long non-coding RNA. RefSeq lists it as uncharacterized. The record is from RefSeq and is a predicted model, not a curated record. The transcript is spliced from 2 exons. NCBI's taxonomy places the organism in Eukaryota, Metazoa, Chordata, Mammalia, Rodentia, Sciuridae.
CCUUUGGAAGUGUGUACUGACAAAGAGCAUGCAAAAUUGUUCCUGCUUCAGGGACAGUUUAGGAAGAAAAUGAUACUGUGCCUGCCUGGACUUCACAAGCCCUGGGCUCAGGGACACAGGAAAGAGAUACCAGGUGUCAAGUCCACAGGGAGAGGCAGGAAGGCAGGCAAGAGGAGGGAGACAUGGCUGAUGCCAGGCCCAGCUUCCAGAUCCAGCUCUGGGGAGGCUGAUGAAUAGACCCUUUAUCUAAGCAGAAGGGUGGGGGCUGCAGAAAGGGGUCUCAGGUAACAGGAGUCUCAGAACAAGCUCAAAAGAUCUCAUCCUUUUCUUCACAGAAGAAAUUCUAGCUGGAGAGAAGCUUCUUAGAAGGUCCUUAUUUCUCAGCCAUUUUCCCAGGACCCUCAUUUGGGAGGUCCCUCCUCAAUCCCACAGACCUUGCUGGGUGACCUGGAGACAUCAUCAGAAGUGCAGAGUCCAUUAUGGUUAAAGGCACUGACUUUUGGCCUCCAAUUCCCAGCAAUUCCAGUGACUGGCUAGAUGCCCCAGGCAAGUCAUUUCACCUGACUCUCAGCUUCCUCCUAGCAGAGAAUAAUCAGAGUCACCUCACAGAUAAGCCUGGAGGACCAUAGAACAUUGCUCAGCAAAGGAAUAUAAUUUACCUGGCUGUCCUGUCCUCUUGGAAGCUGCUCCACACAAGAGCUUCUUUGUACAGAGAAGGCCCUUCAACAGCCUGGAACGCUAGGCAGCUCAUUACUACCCUCUCGUGGUCAGAACAGGUCAGCACCGGAUCUAGCUAAACAGCUUGCUCAGGACAUCCUGAAAGCCAAGGUCAACCCCAACAGGCUGACUUCUGGCCUACCCACCGCAGUCAGUGUGCUGCACACCAGCAUCAGUGGUUCAGCAUCCCACUCCCAAACAGGCCAUGACCCAGGCUUAGCCAGGCUGAGCCUAAUGAUUGCAAAUCUGGCCAAUGCUGUCUACUCCAAGCCAGAGGCUCCCAGAAGAUGCCCUUUUCCAACUGCCAAAGCAGAAUGAUGGAGAGCUCUCCGGUCCGCCAGAGAGCACUGAUGGUCAGGACUGGGCCUGGAGAUGGCAUAGAGCAGGGCUGCAGGAAGACAACUGCAAUCCUUCUAAUCACAAAACCCUUGCUCUCCUACACCUCUUUUUUUCCUUUCAAAAUAUUGCCCAAGGCAACUUGACAUGUACAAAUAAACAUACAAGGAUGUCUGCUGCAGAA